This 301-nucleotide ribosomal RNA is filed under the name uncultured bacterium. RNAcentral describes it as "partial 16S ribosomal RNA". It matches the Rfam family "Bacterial small subunit ribosomal RNA", at positions 509 to 809 of the family's 1533-position model. The record is from RNAcentral.
CAGCCGCCACGGGAAUACGUAGGGUGCAAGCGUUAAUCGGAAUUACUGGGCGUAAAGCGUGCGCAGGCGGUUCGGAAAGAAAGAUGUGAAAACCCAGGGCUUAACUUUGGGCUUGCUUUCGAUACGGGCAGACUUGAGGCAUUGAGGGGGAUGGAAUUCCGCGUGUAGCAGUGAAAUGCGUAGAUAUCGGAAGGAACACCUGUGGCGAAAGCGGCUCACUGGACCAUUACUGACGCUGAGGUACGAAAGCAUGGGGAGCAAACAGGAUUAGAUACCCCAGUAGUCCCUGUCUCUUAUACAA